UACAGAGGGUGCAAACGUUGUUCGGAAUUACUGGGCAUAAAGCGCACGUAGGCGGUCCUGUAAGUGUGGAGUGAAAUCCCACGGCUCAACCGUGGAAUUGCUUCGCAUACUGCAGGACUCGAGGACGGUAGGGGAGAGCGGAACUCCUGGUGGAGCGGUGAAAUGCGUAGAUAUCAGGAGGAACACCGGUGGCGAAGGCGGCUCUCUGGUCCGUUUCUGACGCUGAGGUGCGAAAGCCAGGGUAGCGAACGGG
RNAcentral lists this unclassified non-coding RNA (253 nucleotides) under uncultured Planctomycetota bacterium. Its description in RNAcentral is "uncultured planctomycete contains 16S-23S intergenic spacer region". It matches the Rfam family "Bacterial small subunit ribosomal RNA", at positions 524 to 776 of the family's 1533-position model. The record is from RNAcentral. Lineage: Bacteria; Pseudomonadati; Planctomycetota.